This 5778-nucleotide long non-coding RNA is filed under the name Sus scrofa (pig). RNAcentral describes it as "lncRNA (ENSSSCG00055007874.1)". The record is from RNAcentral. Lineage: Eukaryota; Metazoa; Chordata; Mammalia; Artiodactyla; Suidae.
CCGCCUCGACGCCAGGAGGCUCCGGACUCGCCUGCCCGCGGCCUCCGGGCAGGUUUGUACCAGAGGACGAUAAAAUCCGUUGAGGUCAGCGACAGGGCAGGGCCCACCCCAAACCCUCUGUUCUGCCAGCAUUUGUAGAGUUUCCUGCGCUGAAGUAGAACUCCUGCCAGAAAAAGGGUUACUUUCCUCUUUGUGUCUGUCAUCUUCCCGCUCCCCUGGGAGCUCUGAACAUCUUCAGAACAGCCUCUGGGACUUCCUGGGAUGUCCCCUCCCUGGGACCCUAGGGUCGCAGGGCGCUGCGGGCUUUACUGGCGGAGUGUCCGCUCUGUUAGGAAUCAGGUGGAAAGACGACACGUAAUCUAAUCUCUUAUCCUAAUGAGCCACUGAGCUUGUUUUCCCUUUUUCCCUUUCAAAACUGUCAAGGGCGAGCAGAAUCCGCAAAGCUGGUCUCUCUCUGGACAGGAAUCCACCUUCUCCCCCAGAUUGCCGGCUUUUCUGACUAAAGCAUCUUUCUCUUCAGCAGACACACGCCCCUCCACUAUUGGCUCUAGGAGGGAAAAGCCCAGAAGAAACUCUCACCUACUCACACUCGACCACGCUGCUCAGGGCGCCGGCGGUGUGGGUGCUCUGGAAUUUCUCGCCCCUGAAUCUCCACUGGACACGAAAGCCGCUGUUAGGGUAAGACCGGAACCUCGACUCCAGGAAAUCUCGUCCUUCCGCCCCAGAAGAGGAGCCUGGGCCUCAGAUUCCAGCGUCUGAGGAGACCCCCCCAGGUCCUCACCCUUUGCCGCCGGCCGGGCUCCUCCGGGUCGAAGGUGAGACUCGCAGCAGCAACUCCGAGUCCGGACCCUUGGUCUCCCCUUGGACCUGCGCCAACGAGGAGAUGCCCCCCCCCCGCCCCCGGACGUGACCAGAUGGAAACACGUUCAUUCCCUUCUGCUCCGGAGAAAUAUUUAGUCAGGAGCCCCAAGGACGUCUUACGUAGUGAAAAUAUUCGCCGCCAAAUCAUAGUUUGGGAACUUAGGAAAUACAACUUAUGCAAAAAAAAAAAUGUGGGGAGGUCCACUUGAAGGCGGCUGAGGAAAGGCGGGAAGAAAGAGGACGCGGUAUUAGAAGGAGACAGGAAGGAACAAGGAGACUCUUAAGAGGACAAGGAGCCCAGAGUUGGUGGGAUGCUUCGGCAGUGGGUUUGGGAGAGCGAGGCUCCACUUGUGGAACGUUCCCAGGCAUGAUUUGACUAUCUUUUUGAUGCCACGAGCAUUCUGGCUCUACCAAGAAGGCCGGAAAUAGGUUUGUCUGGAGUUUAUCCUUGAAAUUUUUCUUUUUAUCAUUUGGGGGUGGGGGUGGGAUGAGGAGGGUUCAGGGUAGGCCGGUAAAUAGACUUGCAAAUUCUUAGGAAUAAAGUCAGGACCUUGUUGAAUUCUUUGGGGUUAACUGGCAUGUAGCAUUCUUUGGGAAAUGUUUAUAUUCUUGAGCGCCCAUGCCCUUUUCCAGUGUUGCCAUGAGCUGUGGUGUAGGUCACAGAUGCGGCUCAGAUCCCGCGCUGCUGUGGCUGUGGCAUAGGCCGGCGGCUACAGCUCCGAUUAGACCCCCAGCCGGGGAACCUCCAUAUGCCAUGGGUGCAGCCCUAAAAUAGCAACAAUCAAACAGUUAAUGUAAUAAUCGACCUACCAAACUAUAAUACAAAUAUAUUGGAGGAUAAGGCAAGGGGAGGUGUGUGUGUGUGUGUGUGUGUGUGUGUGUGUGUGAGUGUGUGUAUGUUAGUGAUGUAAGGAGUAAAUGAAAGAAACAAUGCCUAAAAUUUGAAAAUCAAGGAUUAGAAAUAAUUAGGAAUAAGAGCAUAAACAAGUCAUUGGUUACAUGUGAUGAAAAUUUGUGGGAGUACAUCAGGGGAUUUCUGUUUUUCUAAACAAAUUUAUGAGCAUAUAUAACUGAUAAACAUAUACCCUAAAUCAAAAUAAUUCCUUUGCCGUAUAUAUGUGUGUGUGUGUGUUUAUUUAAAGUUCAUUAUUUUCAUCUUGAAUAUAUAUUUUUAUGUAAUCAUAUUAAUCACUCUUUCAUUUAUUUAUUUAUUUUUUUUGUCUCUUGCUGCUGGCCUACACCGGCACCAUAGCCCACAGCAACACCAAAUCUUUAACUCACUGAGCAAGGCCUCAACCUCAUGGUUCCUAGCUGGAUUCGUUCCCACUGUGCCAAGAUGGGAACUCCAUAAUCACUCUUUUAGUUUAAGGAUUCUGGGUUUGGUACUAUGGACGGAACAUCUUCCCACUGUUGGUCCAUAAAAAUUCUGGCAAAAAUAAGUUCAAGGAAAUGGUAGGUAAGUACUAUCCAGCUUUGGCGAAAUGGUGGAGAAAAGAAUAUUCUUGUAAAACAUUGGGAAUAUGACCUGCUGCAUCUUCUUUUCAGGGUAAUUAGGUGAGAACUAGCAAAAUUAGAAAUGAGCAAGUAUUUUUAAAAAAAAAAAUUUUUUUAGGGCCACAACCACAGCUUAUGGAAGUUCCCAGGCUAGGGGUCAAAUCGGAGCUGAAGCUGCCAGCCUGCACCACAGCCACAGCAACUCCAGAUCCAAGUCGCAGGUCACAGCCAUGCCGGAUCCUUAACCCACUGAGCAAGGCCGGGGAUCAAACCCACAUCCUCAUGGAUACUAGUCAGGCUCAUUACCACUGAGCCACAACGGGAACUCCCCUCAAUUUUUAAAGGCUAUACUCCAUUUAUAGUUAUAAAAUAUUAGGUAUAUUCCCUGUAUUGUACAAUGUAUUCUUGUAGCUUAUUUCUUUUAUACAUAAUAGUUUAUACCUCUUAAUUCCCUACCCUUAUCUUUCCCCUCCUCCUUCUCUCUCCUACUGGUAACCACUACUUUUUUCUCUAUAUCUGUGAGUCUGUUUCCUUUUUGUUAUAUUCCCUAGUUUAUUGUAUUUUUUAGAUUCCACAUGUAGGUGAUAUCAUACAGUAUUUGUCCUUCUCUGUCUGACUUAUUCAUUUAUCAUAAUACCCUCCAAGUCAAUCCUGUUGUUGCAAAUGACAAAAUUUCAUUCUUUUUAAUGGCCAAGUAGUAUUCCAGAGUGUAUGCAUGUGUGUGUGUGUGUGUGUGUGUCUGUGUGUGUACACCACAUCCUCUUUAUCCAUUCAUCUGUUGAGGGAUGCUUAGGUUGCUUUCAUAUCUUGGCAUUUGUAAAUAAUGCUGCUAUGAAUUUUGGGGUGCAUCUAUCUUUUUGAAUUAGUGGGGUUUUGUUGUUGUUGUUGUUGUUGUUGUUGGUUUGUAUACAUACUUAGGAGUGACAUUGCUGGGUCAUGUGGUAGUUCUCUUUUUAGUUUUUUAGUUUGAGAAACAGUGGCUGCACCAUUUUACUUUCCCAUCCACGGUGUCCUUUUCUCCACAUCCUUGCCAACAUUUGUUAUUUGUGUUCUUUUUGAUGAUAGCCAUUCUGACAGGUGUGGGGUGAUACAUCAUGAUUUUGAUUUGCAUUUCCCUGAUGAUUAACAAUGCUGAGCAUUUUUUUAUAUGCCUGUCGGCCAUCUGCUUGUCCUCUUUGAAAAAAUGUUUAUUCAGGUCUUCUGCCCAUUUUUAAAUUUUUGUUCAUUUGUUUUGAUGUUGAGUUGAAUGAGCUGUUUAUAUAUUUUGGAUAUUAACACCUUGUUGGUCGUAUCAUUAGCAAAUAUUUUCUCCCAUUCAGUAGGCUGUCUUUUCAUUUCGUUGAUGGUUUCCUUUCUGUGCAAAAGCUUUGAAGUCUACUUUGGUCCUAUAUGUUUAUUUUUGCAUUUGUUUCCUUUGCUCUAGGAGACAGAUCCAAAGAAAUAUUGCUAUGAUUUAUGUCAAGGAGUGUUCUACCUACAUUUUCUUCGAGGCGUUUUAUGAUUUCUGGUCUUACAUUUACUCUUUAGUACAGUUCGAGUUUAUUUUUGUAUAUAGUGGGAGAAAAUGUUCUAAUUUUAUCCUUUUACAUGUAAUUGUUCCGUUUUCCCAGCACCGCUACUUAAGAGGCAGUAUUUUCUCCCUUGAAUAUUCUUGCCUUCUAGUAGAUUAAUUGACCAUAAGUGUGCGGGAUUAUUUCUGGGUUCUCUAUUAUGUCCCAUUGGUCUCUGUAUGUGUCUGUUUUGUGCCAUACCGUUUUGAUUACUAUAGCUUUUUGGUGUAGUCUGAGGUCAAGGCGAGUGAUUCUUCCCGCUCUAUUAUUCUUUCUCAGGAUUGCUUUGGCUAUCUGGGGUCUUUUGUGUUUCCAUACAAAAUUGAAAUUAUUUGUUCUAGUUCUGUGAAAAAUUCCCUUGAUAUUUUGAUAGGGACUGCAUUGAAUCUGUAGAUUAUCUUGGGUAGUAUGGUCAUUUUAACAAUAUUAAUUCUUCCAAUCCAUUAACACAUAUACGUUUCCAUCUGUUUGUGUUGUCCUCAGAAAUGAGCAAAUAUGUUGAUCUGGCAAUUCCAUUUCCAGGAAUCUACGGAGAAACAGACAAGUGAUGGCUGAUUAUGUAUAAGGCAGUUCCCUGCAGUAGUUUUUGCAGUAGUAAAUACUGGAGCCAGUUUCAUGACCAUCAGUUAGAAAAUGUUUGAAUAAUGAUCUAUUUAUAUCAAGAAGGAUGAUAAAUUUUUUUUCACUUUUUAGAGCAGCGUCUGUGGCAUAUGUAAGUUCCCAGGCUAGGGGUUGAAUAGGAGCCAAAGCUGCCAGUCUAUGCCACAGCCACAGCAAUGUGGGAUUCAGGUCACAUCUGUGACCUACACCACAGCUCACAGCAAUGCCGGAUCCUUAACCCACUGAGCAAGGCCAGGGAUUGAACCCACAUCCUCAUGGAUAUUUGUUGGGUUUGUAACCUGCUGAGCCACAACAGAAACUCCAAGAAGGAUACUAAUUAAACAAAGCAGAUAAUGAAAAUGCUGAUGGCAAUGGCAGUGAUAACAGCCAAUGUGUACUGAACAUUUACUAUGGGAGAAGCCCUAGGCUCAGGGCUUUACCUACACAUCUCAUUUAAAACCGCAUUUAAACUUUGGACAACCCAAGUACUCCAUUUGGUUCAUUUUACAUUAGCAAUGAAGGUACAGAAGUCAAGGAACUUGUUCUACCAAUCCGGUUUCCUGCCCAGAGCCUGUGGCUUCACCACAGGUGUGACCUGAGUUCUCUUGUUCUCCAUUUUAGGGAUUCCCAGUGUUCCAAACAUGCUAAGCUGUAAAAACCUAGCCUCUGGAAAAGUAGGGGAAGAUAUUUGGUGAGUGUGGGUUAGAUAGGCUCUGGAGUUCUAAAAUGGACUUUUUGCCCAAGACAGCAUUCUUUGCUAGACGUACCUGAGGAAGGCUAGAGUCUUGAGAGGAGAAACUUGAGGGUAAGGAGCAGGUAUCCCAAGGAAAGAUGGAAAAAUAGCUUUCCCAUAAAUAUAACCAUCGCCAGGUGGGCUCAAAUCACCAAGCUUUUGGCCAACUGCUCAACACUCUAACCAGUUACACCACAGAGACACCUGCUUGGGGUACCAGUGGGCUGCCAAUCAAUCAUAGCAUACAUAAUCAAAGUGUUCAUAAGGCGCAAACUGGUUAUAAAAUAGGUACUGGGGAUGUCAGGUGUAACACGAUGACUUUGGUUAACAUUGCAUUGGAAAGUUAUUAAGAGAGUAAGUCUUAAGAAGUCUCAUCACAAGGGAAAAAAAACCCAUCUUUUUCUAUCUGUAUCAGAUGAUGGAUGUUAACUAAACUUAUUGUGGUAAUUUCAUAAUGUGUGUAAGUCAAUUCAUGAUGAUAAACACCUUAAACUUAUACAAUGCUCUAUGUCAAUGACAUCUCAAUAAAUCUGGAAAAAU